AAACCAGCACCUCAAGUGGUCAGGAGGAUUAUUGGGCCUAAAGCAUCCGUAGCUUGCUGCAUAAGUUUUCGGUUAAAUCCGUACGCUCAACGUAUGGGCUGCCGGGAAUACUGCAGAGCUAGGGAGUGGGAGAGGUAGACGGUACUCGGGAGGAAGUGGUAAAAUGCUUUGAUCUCUCGAUGACCACCUGUGGCGAAGGCGGUCUACCAGAACACGUUCGACGGUGAGGGAUGAAAGCUGGGGGAGCAAACCGGAUUAGAUACCCGGGUAGUCC
Molecule: ribosomal RNA, 274 nt
Filed under: uncultured bacterium
Lineage: Bacteria
Description: partial 16S ribosomal RNA
Rfam family: Archaeal small subunit ribosomal RNA
Source: RNAcentral